This 506-nucleotide ribosomal RNA is filed under the name uncultured bacterium. RNAcentral's name for it is "partial 16S ribosomal RNA". It matches the Rfam family "Bacterial small subunit ribosomal RNA", at positions 29 to 523 of the family's 1533-position model. The record is from RNAcentral.
AGUGAACGCUGGCGGUAGGCCUAACACAUGCAAGUCGAACGGCAGCACAGAGGAGCUUGCUCCUUGGGUGGCGAGUGGCGGACGGGUGAGGAAUACAUCGGAAUCUACCCUGUCGUGGGGGAUAACGUAGGGAAACUUACGCUAAUACCGCAUACGACCUACGGGUGAAAGCAGGGGACCUUCGGGCCUUGCGCGAUUGAAUGAGCCGAUGUCGGAUUAGCUAGUUGGCGGGGUAAAGGCCCACCAAGGCGACGAUCCGUAGCUGGUCUGAGAGGAUGGUCAGCCAAACUGGAACUGAGACACGGUCCAGACUCCUACGGGAGGCAGCAGUGGGGAAUAUUGGACAAUGGGCGCAAGCCUGAUCCAGCCAUACCGCGUGGGUGAAGAAGGCCUUCGGGUUGUAAAGCCCUUUUGUUGGGAAAGAAAUCCAGCUGGCUAAUACCCGGUUGGGAUGACGGUACCCAAAGAAUAAGCACCGGCUAACUUCGUGCCAGCAGCCGCCGUAA